Molecule: transfer RNA, 73 nt
Filed under: archaeon SCG-AAA382B04
Lineage: Archaea
Description: tRNA-Pro
Source: RNAcentral
GGGCCGGUGGGGUAGCCUGGCAUCCUUCCACCCUGGGGGGGUGGGCACUUCGGUUCGAGUCCGGGCCGGCCCA